Molecule: ribosomal RNA, 253 nt
Filed under: uncultured bacterium
Lineage: Bacteria
Description: partial 16S ribosomal RNA
Rfam family: Bacterial small subunit ribosomal RNA
Source: RNAcentral
UACGUAGGCAGCAAGCGUUGUUCGGAGUUACUGGGCGUAAAGGGUGUGUAGGCGGUUCUUUAAGUUUGGUGUGAAAUCUCCCGGCUCAACUGGGAGGGUGCGCCGAAUACUGAGGGACCAGAGUACGGGAGAGGAAAGUGGAAUUCCUGGUGUAGCGGUGAAAUGCGUAGAUAUCAGGAGGAACACCGGUGGUGUAGACGGCUUUCUGGACCGACACUGACGCUGAGACACGAAAGCGUGGGUAGCAAACAGG